This 77-nucleotide ribosomal RNA is filed under the name Paenibacillus odorifer. RNAcentral's name for it is "partial 16S ribosomal RNA". It matches the Rfam family "Bacterial small subunit ribosomal RNA", at positions 1 to 77 of the family's 1533-position model. The record is from RNAcentral. Lineage: Bacteria; Bacillati; Bacillota; Bacilli; Caryophanales; Paenibacillaceae.
UAAUUGGAGAGUUUGAUCCUGGCUCAGGACGAACGCUGGCGGCGUGCCUAAUACAUGCAAGUCGAGCGGAGUUAUUU